Long non-coding RNA from Gavialis gangeticus (Gharial), 9279 nucleotides. RefSeq lists it as uncharacterized. The transcript is spliced from 2 exons. The record is from RefSeq and is a predicted model, not a curated record. NCBI's taxonomy places the organism in Eukaryota, Metazoa, Chordata, Crocodylia, Gavialidae.
UUUAUUUUAUUUUUCAUCAUUUUUUUUUUUGCCAAUUUUGUUGAGUUUGUUUCCUCAUUUCAUUUUUAAUUUGCUUUGUACAGCUUGAUUGUACAAAAUAAGGAUCCUUCCUCGCAUGCUGUAGGGUGGUGGUGCUGAUGCUGGAAGUACUGCUCUCCUAAUGCAUACCCUGUUCAUGACCUGGCGGGUCAGAGUGAACCUACAGCCUAUUGUUCCAGUCCUACCCAGGUACCUACAUAAAGCACAGAAACUUAAAUACAUAACCAUACCGCUGGUCUGGUGUACAGUUUUUGUUUUUUGUGGGGGUUUUUUUCUUUUCCAAUAUAAGAUAACGUAGUGAUGGCAUUCAUGCUAGUGCAGAAAUAUUACUUGAAUGCAUUUCUGAGUAUUUCACGCACCAGUACGUAGAAUAGGUAUUCAUCUUCCCGUAAAUUACUGGUUAAUAGUUUUCAAAGAAAAUGUGAAAAACAAAACAACCCGCUUGCUACAAUGCAUGAAGAGGAAGUGUGUGCACGCACUCAAACACACGGCACUGCCAACAAGGCACUGGUGUUGCACUUUUUUGGAUGUGCCUCAUGCUGCCAAAUGUCUGAAAGAACCUUGGUGCAUCCAAUAACCAUGACUUUUUCUCCAUUCUCAUUCUCCUUCCUAAGCCAGCAAACAGACUUGACCCAUCUGAACUCUGAGCCCCAUUGUAACAUAUUAUGAAGUAAGAUCAAACCUAAAUAUCUCCUGCGCUGUUCUAUAUCCGUGCAUCACCUGCACUCCUGGGCCAGACUUCCGCAUGUGCAUUGGAGUUUCUCUUUGCUGCCUUCUGGUUUAUUUUGGUUGGGUGUUUUUUUUGGGUUUUUUUUUUUAAUUAAUGUUUUGUUUUGUUUUAUUUUUUAGUUUUGGCUUUUGCUGAGUGGUGUCAUUGAAGCAUAAUGGAGGCUGCAGUUCCUAUGGCAACACAUUUGCACAUUAAUGUGUCCACCAAAUCUGAACACUUUAGAAAAGCAGUGUGUGACAGAUAAUUGCAUUUUGGGAACAUUGGGAUGGGGGGGACACAUACAUAUUAUCUUAACCAGCUGCUUGUUCGAUAAACAUAGAUGGCCUCACUGCAGCCUUCCAUAAAAAAUAAUUAGCUGCUUUAAUGAUGUCACAUUUGUGAAUUGUACAAUGCAAAAAGCAAUGCAAAGCAGAUUUGGCAUGUGUCUGUACCUAGUAUGUAUGUACAGUGCCUGCCAACAAAUGAAUAACCAAGACUACAGCUUCUUCUAGCCUGAAAUAUCAAUUUUUAUAACUUAUUUAAGCAAAUAGCAACUUUGCAUGAAUUGUCUCGGGUGGGGUGGGGGGGGACGCAGUAGGUUAUUUCUAAAAUGUGUUAUCAGAAAUAGACAAACCAUUUCUAGCUGCACUUAACUCGGGGGUGGGUGGAAGGUUUCAGCUAUCUUAUUCAAUUUAAAGGGAAACCCCCUUUCACUUAGUUCCUGGAAAAAAAUGUUACCGUUCUAUGAAGUAUAAUGCGCGUGAAAAAAAUGUAUCACAAUGAAAUCAACAAGGGAGAGAACUAUGUUAAUCACACUUGUACUUAGAAAUACAACAGAAGCAUCUAGGUAGAAAGGAGAGUUUCAGGGAGGAGGGGAGUGUUAAUGCAGGGAGCAAAUGUUAUUUUCCAAACAGAUAUUGGAAUCAAAUAAAUGGGGAAUCAUAGAGAAUGAAAGCAGGAGCGCUUAAAAAGCUUGACAGGCGGAAGAUGAGACACAUGUAAGUAAUACUGUAGUGUUGAAACCAAAAAAAACCCCUCUCCCUUUGUUUCCAGCUGAGAGUGCUUCCAGCACUGAGAUUUACCAGCGUGAAGGCCUGGAGGACAGUCGCUUGUGACCGGCUGGCACUGCUCAGUGCCAUACCAUCACAACUCUCCCUGUACAGGGACGCCCGGGAAAGUUGAGACAAAUCAACCAGAAGUGUGCAAGUGUUUUCCUUGACUCCUAAAUGAGUGCAUCCAUGCACUCUGCGGCACGUGAGGAGGCUGGAUUGGGUGAGAAUUAGCAGUGUGCCGGCCACCCCCUGUCACUCCCCGUCUGGGCGCUGUUCAGCUGCAGCGAGUGGAAGGCAGCUGACUCGACUUUAAAAGUAGAACAAGCUGCCUUGCUCAGUGCAAUGAAUGGGCCUGCACGGGGCAUAGCUAGCACCUUGCAAAUUGUCACUCAGGCUUAUGUGGCAGUAAUUUCAUCACGUAGAUAAGCCCCUGUGCAUACUGACUGCACACUGUUGGCUUGUUUGCCUUCACUUGUCCACGCGUCACCAUGUAAACAGGCCCUCCUCCUGCCAGAGCGAGUGUCUUUGAGAACUCUGAUUUACCAGCAGCAUCUCUGCAGGUCCCCUUUCAGCAAGGGAAAAAGCCUGUACUUGCUUAGCAAAUGUUAAUGAGAGGAGGAGGGCAGUCUUCCCAGGAGAGCAAUUGUGGAGCUGCUGAAAGGAUGUGGGCUCCAAUCUCCAGAGCCCAGCCCUUUCACCCCUGAGCUGGAAGGGAGGAAAAAAGAAAUCGCAGCCUCCUUCUCCCAUGCAAUCCCAGAACAAGAAGUGAAGUCAAGGCAAUAAAUGCAGGCACAGCCUUAUCAGGGCAAUCUGAAAAAAUAUUCUGUUGAUCAGUUGACCCUCUCAGUGCUGGAUUGCUACCUGUCUCAGUGUAUACCAUGCACAAAGCAGCAGUGUCCUGUGAUAUAUUGUCCCAGCAAUAAAGGGAGAAAAUUGAGAAUGGAGGGCACUCUUUCAAGAAACCAUGAGUAAUGAACAAUAUUUCUUUGUGGGCACUAUAUUUUUUAAAGUCUUUCUAUGCUGAACAUUUCUCCAAAAGCCAAAAUAUAUACUGUUGGUAGGGGUUUUUGUAUAGUGUACAGAAAUUGGCAUAAUAUUUUCUUGCUGCUUCAAGUGAUUUAUUAGCCGGAGUAAAAUAGACAAAUACAAAGUGUUAGCAAAAGUGAAAGAAAAGAACAAAACAGUUUGUGCCUUUUUAGUUUAUUUUUUCUGUUGCUGUAUAGUCGCUGCACUAAACCUUUUCCAGAAAAUAAAAAUAACUAAUCUCUUAACAAAGGGGGAAAUACAUGAAGCUGAAACCAAGCGCUUAAUUUUUUUAUUGGGGUAUUUAAUUAAAAGAAUGUUGCUGGUUUUAUUUGAUACUUGUGCCUUUGUAGUAUGCCUCAUUCAUACCGAUGAGAUAAGCCAAAACAGGUACAAAAACCAUUCUAUCCCAGAGUCAGACACACUGGUCUGUCACCACCACUUCCAAAGCUGGUUAAAAUGUAACGGGUGGGUUAUGACUGCAUCUCUGAUCAUGACACCUUGGGAGCUGCAUAAAAGAGGUGUGUUGUUAUAACAUGCAGCUUGCAAAGUGCUAUGGUAUCGCUAUACUUCUAAGUGCACGGGGGGCACAGGAAUCAAGAUGCUGCCACUCAGGCGUUUGUUGCUGUGUGACUUUGUCUUUACUGCCUUUGUGAUUUCUCUCCUGCUCUGUGACAAGUGUGCUUGGAAAAUUCAAUUUGGUCAUCAUACCAGGAAUCCCAGCUGCCUGUCCUUUCCCUCACAUUUAAUCUCCUAAAGAAAGGACAUACUGUUAAAUCUUUCCAUCUCUUUUUUUUUUUUCUCAGUGAUGACAGCAGAUGAGUUAGUAGAGCUCUACUAACCUGAGCUUUGUCCUAGGCUAUCAUGGUUGGACAUCUCCUACUGUUGUACUAACUCCAGUGAGAAUACUGAUGUAGACCAGGCUCAGGCACUUUUACUGCUGUUGGCUGGAUUUGCUGUGAGUUGGAUUAGACACCUCCAUGGCUAAAAAAUACCUGAGCCUCCUGCAGCAUCUUAUUUGUUGGACUUGCUCUGGCGGGAAAUUUUGCAAAGCCUGUUUAUGUUGGUACAGGCUUGGAGGUGGAUCAUCCUUGCAUGUUCUGUAGAACAUGCUUGUCCUUCCUGCGAGGGAGCCCAGGCUCAAGUUGCACUGUCUCCUAGUCUGGCUAUGCUGCAGGCUGCAAGAUCAUGUAGAGAAACCCAGGUAGGUUUAAAUGAGCUGACUAGGAGCACUCCAGCCUGGCCAGUGCAGAGUUCAGCCCGGCACUCUUGGUGGGGCAGUUUAGCCCCCAUAGAGCCGGGUGCUGUCAUGGCCAGAUUGGUUUUGCUCUCGGUACUGGUUCAUUCAUAACUAGCUUGGGCAUCUCCUCACUGCACUGCAGUCUGCAGUGUAGGCAAAUCCUGAGUCUGUGUAGGCAGGGCAAGCUGAAGGGUUUUUCCAUUCUGUCCAUCCAUCGCCUCUAUGUUACCUAUGUACAUAGCUCUGCAAAAGGCUUCCACAGGUCCUGUCUCUGCACAAGUCCUGGAACUCCUCCGAUGUGCAGCUUCCCAGCAGGGACAGGACACAGGUUUGCUGUCCAUCUCUCCUUUGCUGCUUCUGGACCUCCCGCUGCUUCUGGACAGAGACUGCUGAGGGGACCACGCAAGCCCUGGCAGCUGGUACUUCAGCUCUGGCACAGAAGUGCAUGGAGGGCAGUACGAAGAGCUCAGGGACGCACCAUUUGAAGGCGACAAGCAGAAGAGCUGCUAGAGGAUCUUCCCAGCGGUUCUCUGCAGCUCUGGUAGGAAGGCCAAAUGCGUAUGAAAUAAGGGACAAUGUUAAAGAUGAACUGAGCCGUUCUCCAUGUCUGUUGCCACUCCCUGUGCUGAGUGUGGGCUGUGGGUGGCACUGAGGGACUGGCAGUUGCGUGACCCCGUACACAAGCGCCAGACUGCCAGCCCCAUGUGGGAAUGCUGGGAUUCUUGUGACAAGAGUUGGGAUUUUUAUUGUAAUUUGGUUAAUUGGAUGGCUGGUGGAACGACAUCCAGCUGAGCUGGAGCUGUGUGCUUUGACUGGCAGGAGACCUUUCAGCUACGGGACUGGCAUCUGCAAACAAAUGCGUCCUCCCUGGUCCCUACCCACAUCUGCCCUGGCAGCUUCCUAGCUAAUACGUUCUAUGUCCAUGCUUCUUUUUCACUGAUUUGCUGAUCUUUAAAAUAGUUUCCCUGCCUGAGCCCUUAUCUUGCAGUGAGCUUCACUUAGGUGAAUACCUGGAUGGAGCUGACUGGGAUCAGUGCUGCGGCACCCCCUGCCCUGCUCCCCAGCAGAGCCAGGGCCUGUGAUCUCUUCUUACAGGUUUUUCAGAGAAAACAGGAAACAUUUCAGUUACGAGUCAAGGCUCAACCUUGUCCAUGGCCCAGGUCCCCCUGGGCACCACCUGCGCUGUCCUCUGUGAAGCUAGUAAGAGUUAUGUGUGCGCAUCUGUGAGAACCAGGUCCUUGGGGCCUGCUGAGGCCACCGUGCACCUUUGAUCAGUUAUCCCAGGUUUUAGGUUGGCUCCGUAGUGCUCUUGGCCUUGCUUAGUAAUGCUCAAUGGCUAAAGCAAUUAGCAACAGGGUUUCAGACUUUAGUGAGGCCUCUUGAACUAGUGGUUGCCACAAAUUCAUGCCUUGGUUUCUCUGAUGAAGUGGUCUGCACCUGCAGGCAGCUUAGAAAUGGCAGCUGUAAUUCACCUCCACUUUGAAGUGUGCUCCACAGUGCUGUGCCAUAGGCAUGUUCCAAGCACUGCGUGGAGAGAAGUGGCACUGGGCUUUGCUUGGGUCCUGUUGCUACAGGGUGUGGACAAUAUGUUUCAGUACCUCUUUAGCACUUCCCAGGUCUCUACCUGCACACAAGACUGUGAGCCCUUCUGGGUGCAGUCCUACAUAAGGUGUAAUAAGAUUUGACAGUAUCGCCUUUCUGUACAUCUAUGACAUGAAACUUGUUUUAACUGGGAAUAAGUUUUCCUUCCAAGAAUCAAGUCUGUGAAUAAUCUGCAGAGCCUCCUCAACUGACUUUUUAAAAAAUUGCUAAUUGGAAAAUACACGUCAGUUGAUUACUCAAAGAUGCAUGGUUUUAAAGUAAGUAUGUGUGUAGCAACCUGGAAUUCAGUGUAGAAUAAUAGACAACGAGGGCUAGAAGGGAGCUCAGGAGCUCAUCUAGCUCGAAGUGGCACCGUGCCCAACUAGAUCAUUCCAGCCAAGGCUUUAAGAUAGACCUUAAUCUCCAAGGACAGAGAUUUUACCACCUCCCUGGGUUACCCCGUUCCAGUGCUUCACCACCCUCUUAGUUGGGAUGUUUUUCCUAAUGCCUAAACUUCCCUUGCUGCAACUUGAGGCCAUUGCUCCUUGUUCUGUCACCUGCCAUCACUGAGAACAAUGUAGCUGAACCUUGUCCAGAGCCGAAUGGUUUUUGAUUGGUAGUUUGUACAGUUACAGGAUGAAGCUGUUUUUAAGAAGCACUUGUUUGAAACAAAAACAUGAAUGUACCAAAAUGUGAAAUGUAAAAUAUUGUAAUGAUGGCUGAUGCACCUGGGAUCUGAACGGGUAACAGCAUUGACUUUAUUUGUGCUAAACUCCACAUAAAAACAGUGUGCGAACUGUACUGCAUCAGUGUCAAUUUGCUGCAAAAAUACUGUAUACUUGAAUCCAAAGUACAAUGUAUAGCUAAUUCGUGUGAAACUAGUCCAAUAUUCCUCGAAAGGAGCAACAGACAAACUGCCCUUCUUGUCUGUGCUGUUGCUUUACUAUCUGUAAAGUGGGGAAAAUCAGGUUUCCUUUGGUAAAGUUCUUUGAGAUCUAGAGUGAUCCAACAUGUAUGAGAGGGGCAGGGAUCUUAUAGGGUGCUCAUGAGGUCCAAGCCUAUCCUGGGAUGAAAAUUUUCCUGUUGACUUCAGUGGGAGUGGAAGAUGCUCAGAAGGCAAGAUCAGGCCUUUACAACCUCUUCAUACUGCCGCUGCAGCAGUGACAGCGUUCCCAUCCACGUCAGUGCGAGAAGCAUCAGGCCCCAUCUGAUCCAGAACAAUAUUGUCCAUGAAAAUUGGUUGCUGAGAGGUCUCAGCAAAAUUAAGACUUAACAAAAAAUAACUGUCCUUACUGUUGCCCUUCGCACCACUGAGCCUAAUCCGUGCAUGAUCUCUUUCUUCUGCCUUUGAUUUGCCCAGAGCUUAUGGCUGAAAUGCAGAUGAAUAGAUAGAUAAACCCUCGCUGCAAGGUUUUUAGAAUUGCUAAAUACACAAGGGCAAGUGCCAGCUCCAGUUACCUCUGAAUUAACAAUCUACUUUUAAAUUUGCUGUGAGCCUGAGUUCCAGGAGAGCCUGGGAUAAUGCUGCUGGUAUGCACAGUCUAAAGUCUAAUAAAGGCAUUUCAGUUCCAAGCUAACUGGAGUGCUGUGGUUGCAUACAGUUUGCCACCUAAAGAAAAAUGAAUGGAUGUGAGCUAUUCAGUAAGCUUACAAGUGCAAAAGGCUGAAAUCUCCCCCUUUUUUUGUCCUCGAGCUAUAUCCACUUGGAACCUUGUGCAGAGAAAUCGAUGCCCUUGUGCUUGUAACCAAAGGGUUUUUACCUCACCUCAGUAAGAGGAUGUGCAUGUAGAGAUUAUUUUCCUAGCUUGUGCCAUGGAAAGACUGUUGCCUGAAUGAGCUUUCUAAGCAUCUUUCACCAAAACAAAAGUAAGUGCGAGUGCAAUGUGCACAACACAGAGUUGAGUUGCAAUAGGCCGUUUGUCACUUAAAACAGUAAGCUAGAAGUCAGUAUUUGGAGUGUGUGAAUGUACUGUUCAGUGUUUGCUUUGUUUUACCUGAUGGUUGGUUUUCGGGGGAGGAAAGAAGUUAUUGUGAAUUGUAAAAGAUGGGAAGUCACUGAAAGCAACAGUGUAACAAAUACACCAUGCUGCUGUACAUUACUUUAUAAGCAAUGCGUUUAAAUGUGUGAGCAGCUACUGCUGUGUGAGCUUAUCCAACUUACAGCUAACAUUGUUUCCAAUUUCCUUUAGUCCAAAGCCAAGUUUAAUGAUUUGACUUGUGCUGUGUAUAUUUCUUUUAUUUUACAGUUGGGGUCUAACAAGAGCAUCCCCUGCUUUAUGUGUUGUACUUAUGAUUGUGCUGGGCAAUUAGCUUUAAGCAGUUUGAUGUGCGCUUGCGUUAUUUUAUUAAGGCAAAAGCCUUCUUGAGCCUAACGCUGUUAAGAUGAAAUCACUUCUUUGUAGUGUUGACCAGGUCGCGUGGUGUGCGUUUGCAAAGACCGAAAUGAAUGGGGCUAUAGCUCUUAGCAAAACUGCUAGUGUCUGAGCCUGUGCUCUGUGUACAAGUUAUGGGCUACAAGACUUAACCUGUACCUAAGUGGAAAUUCAGAUUCGUUGUGCAUCGUCACAAUUGUACAAGACCAGUGGGAAAUGAGUCUUGUGCUUUCUGUGCUCAGCAUGGUAGGUACUAUGGGGCUGGACUAGAUGACUCGUAUGUACUGUACUUUGUAAUGGGAAGCAGCUGCAGGUCCUCAAAGAAAUAGUCUCCUAUGAACAUACCUUAAAACAGCAAUAAUAACCACUGCAGAGAAAUGAGUAUGUCUGGUAGGCAGGAGGAGGGUGGGGAAAGAACUCAUGAAAAUACGGUUAUGAACACGCUGGCAAUCAUCACGUGCUGCUAUUGUUAAGUGGGGAACAGAAUUAGUACUAUAAUGGGCCAUUGGGUCUAUGUGACUUGGGUUCAGAUUUGAAGUGAGCUUGUUGAUGCACCCACUUAAAGCCUCUUUAAAUCUCCAAAGUUCAUAUACAGGGCAUUAUCUUUGUAGUAAAAUGCGAUAGAACAAGUUACAGCAAGUCAGGACGGCCCAUUCAGCAGAUAGACGAGAGCACUCUCGAAGUAGCACGGAAGUAACCAUCUGGUUCUGCAACCUCUUAACGCAGUGUAAACUACGGCUGACUCGGCAAUAGCAGAAAAUAGGAUACACGACUGUACUUUUCCUCUGGCAGCAAACAAUUGGCACUCUUGGAAACAUUUGAAAACUCUCCACAUGUAUUGAUUCAGACCAGUUACCACAGCACGUCAGGACAUGCUAUAUAUGCAAGUUACUCCUCCGUACAUUUAGGCAUUUGAGUUCCAACCUAUAAACUGCUAGUCUCAGUGUAGUGACCACUACUCAACUUCCGUUAGCAGAAUACUGAAACACUACGUCCAGUCAGCUCUUAAAUAAAUGCAGUGUGUCUGCAGGAAGAGUCCAGGGAGGUACUGUAAAUGAAUGACUUGUAGGUACUUAAGUUCUGUUCCUGAUGGCCGCUGUAACUGUGAAAAUUAACCAGACCUGCUGUGAUAAAUUUGGUUAUAUAAGGUUUAUUUGGUUAAUUUUUUAUAAGUGAAAACUGAAAAGAUGAAAGAGAAUUGUAAUAUGAAAGCGACUGCUGUAAAUAAUGUAUGAAUGAAUAAAAUCUAAAACUUAUGUCAGA